Molecule: non-coding RNA, 45 nt
Filed under: Schistosoma haematobium
Lineage: Eukaryota; Metazoa; Platyhelminthes; Trematoda; Strigeidida; Schistosomatidae
Source: RNAcentral
AUCCAGCUGAUGAGUCCCAAACAGGACGAAACACGCGUCCUGGAU